GCGUUUUUUGUGUACAACAAUGAUACGUUUUUAAUAAAAAUUAAGAUUGCGAUGUCGUACAAAUGUUGUACUUUUGGCUGAGGAAAACAUGCGUCUUUGCAAGGUUUCUUGACGUCAAAUUUCCUGUCAUAUUAACGCUGCUUGUGUGACAGUUAUGUGUUUUGGACCAAACAAGAAUCGCUCAAACUGUUUGGUGGUGAUGGGAAUGUUUCUGUAGCUCAACAGGUCAAUAUCAUGGAUUUGAUUCCCAAGGAAAGCACACGCUGAUGCACUAUUGAAGUCUGGAGACUGUCAGUAAUCUCUGCGCUGAGGUGUUACUGUGAUCACAUUCAGAUGAGUCUCACACAUUCUCCUCACGCUUUAUUUCCAGACCUGUCAUUGACUGUAAGCUAUUUUUUUAUGCUUUAUGCUUCUUAUUUAUUUUAUUUUAUUUAUUUGAAUGGUUCAUUUAAUGCUUAACAAUUUAAACAAUUUACUGCUUGCAAUUGCGUGAGUGUUGUCUAAGAAACCUAUGGUUUGCUUAAGGAUUCAGUGUUAGUGUAAUUAGCCCAGGGCUUCAACUAUUACUUACCCACCAGAGCACAUUCUCAGGGGAUUAUUAAACAGUUGCCACUAUAAAAACAUCUCACAGUCUUAAAUAGGUUAAAAAUCAAUA
Non-coding RNA from Misgurnus anguillicaudatus (oriental weatherfish), 655 nucleotides. NCBI's taxonomy places the organism in Eukaryota, Metazoa, Chordata, Actinopteri, Cypriniformes, Cobitidae. The record is from RefSeq and is a predicted model, not a curated record.